ACCUUCACUAUAGUUGAAUGGUCACUUGGUUUUGUGUUUGAGAAAGCUUCAAAAUCAUCGCCAGCAUCCAACCAAUAAGAAUUUCCGGUGGCGUCUUCCACUUUCUGCACUAACUCCUCGUACUCCCUCUAUAUAUUGUUACAACAACAAAGAUAUAAUUUCAAGAAAGAAAAGAACCCAAAUCUUGGCGAACAUAGAAGCUUCCUUGAGAGAGAAGUAAGUGAGAGGUGAGCAUCCAUCGUCUGAAACAUAACAUGCUAGUUUAUUCGCCGGAUAAUUCACAGCUAACAGCGAAAGCACGGUGUUCACAACAAGAAUCGGUGGCUCGCGAACCGGAUCCGCCGUGGUUACGAACAUAUCUACCGAUGGAAGCUCAUGAACCCUGAUAUAAAUAAUUAUUAGGUUAUUUCAUUAAAGCUUUGUUGUGGAAAUGUUCACUAUACGAUCAAAGGUAAAAUUAGAGCAUGGUAGGAGUUAAUUACAACCCUAGUGCUAUAUACAAAUAUAAUAAGAUUACUAGAUUUUGACGGGUUUUUCUUUCGAAAAUAGCAAUGUUAGAUAUAAAUUAAUAUCAUGGUUUUGAUGUACAUUAUUAAGUUACAAAGUUGUAUUAUAUCAGAGAAGAAAAUGAUUUAUUGUUUAAAAUUAUAUAAUUUAUCAAUUAGUUUAUUUGAGAUUUUUA
Long non-coding RNA from Brassica napus (rape), 682 nucleotides. RefSeq lists it as uncharacterized. The transcript has 2 exons. NCBI's taxonomy places the organism in Eukaryota, Viridiplantae, Streptophyta, Magnoliopsida, Brassicales, Brassicaceae. The record is from RefSeq and is a predicted model, not a curated record.